AAAACGGGUUGGCUAUAGCCUUGGUGGGGGGCGUGGGCGAAGUUCGUCCGCCGGACUCGGAAUGGCCCCAGACUUUGCGGACGGCUUCCGUGUGCCAAAAAUAGGCCACGGGCAGAGCCGUGCCCAAAAAUCAGCCCCCGAAGGUCGGGGCGCCAAGACCCACCAGCGGAAAAAUGGCCAAAAAACGGGUGGGCUAUAGCCUUGGUGGGGGGCGUGGGCGAAGUUCGUCCGCCGGACUCGGAAUGGCCCCAGACUUUGCGGGUGGCUUCCGUGUGCCAAAAAUAGGCCACGGGCAGAGCCGCGCCCAAAAACCAGCCCCCGAAGGUCGGGGUGCCAAGACCCCCCAGCGGAAAAAUGGCCAAAAAACGGGUGGGCUAUAGCCUUGGAGGGGGGCGUGGGCGAAGUUCGUCCGCCGGACUCGGAAUGGCCCCAGACUUUGCGGGCGGCCUCCGUGUGCCAAAAAUAGGCCACGGGCACAGCCGCCCCCAAAAAUCAGCCCCCGAAGGUCGGGGCGCCAAGACCCCCCAGCGGAAAAAUGGCCAAAAAACGGGUGGGCUAUAGCCUUGGUGGGGGGCGUGGGCGAAGUUCGUCCGCCGGACUCGGAAUGGCCCCAGACUUUGCGGGCGGCCUCCGUGUGCCAAAAAUAGGCCACGGGCACACCCGCGCCCAAAAAUCAGCCCCCGAAGGUCGGGGCGCCAAGAUCCCCCAGCGGAAAAAUGGCCAAAAAACGGGUGGGCGGGCUAUAGCCUUGGUGGGGGGCGUGGGCGAAAUUCGUCCGCCAGACUCGGAAUGGGCCCCGAAUUUGCGGGCGGCCUCCGUGGGCCAAAAUUAGGCCACGUGCACAGCCGCGCCCAAAAAUCAGCCCCCGAAGGUCGGGGUGCCAACACCCCCAAGCGGAAAAAUGGCCAAAAAACGGGUGGGCUAUAGCCUUGGUGGGGGGCGUGGGCGAAGUUCGUCCGCCGGACUCGGAAUGGCCCCAGACUUUGCGGGCGGCUUCCGUGUGCCAAAAAUAGGCCACGGGCAGAGCCGCGCCCAAAAAUCAGCCCCCGAAGGUCGGGGUGCCAAGACCCCCCAGCGGAAAAAUGGCCAAAAAACGGGUGGGCUAUAGCCUUGGUGGGGGGCGUGGGCGAAGUUCGUCCGCCGGACUCGGAAUGGCCCCAGACUUUGCGGGCGGCCUCCGUGUGCCAAAAAUAGGCCACGGGCACACCCGCGCCCAAAAAUCAGCCCCCGAAGGUCGGGGCGCCAAGUCCCCCCAGCGGAAAAAUGGCCAAAAAACGGGUGGGCGGGCUAUAGCCUUGGUGGGGGGCGUGGGCGAAGUUCGUCCGCCGGACUCGGAAUGGCCCCAGACUUUGCGGGCGGCCUCCGUGUGCCAAAAACAGGCCACGGGCACACCCGCGCCCAAAUAUCAGCCCCCGAAGGUCGGGGCGCCAAGACCCCCCAGCGGAAAAAUGGCCAAAAAACGGGUGGGCGGGCUAUAGCCUUGGUGGGGGGCGUGGGCGAAGUUCGUCCGCCGGACUCGGAAUGGCCCCAGACUUUGCGGGCGGCCUCCGUGUGCCAAAAAUAGGCCACGGGCACAGCCGCGCCCAAAAAUCUGCCCCCGAAUGUGGGACGCCAAGACCCCCCAGCGGAAAAAUGGCCAAAAAACGGGUGGGCUAUAGCCUUGGUGGGGGGCGUGGGCGAAGUUCGUCCGCCGAACUCGGAAUGGCCCCAGACGUUGCGGGCGGCCUCCGUGUGCCAAAAAUAGGCCACGGGCACAGCUGCGCCCAAAAAUCAGCCCCCGAAGGUCGGGGUGCCAACACCCCCCAGCGGAAAAAUGGCCAAAAAACGGGUGGGCUAUAGCCUUGGUGGGGGGCGUGGGCGAAGUUCGUCCGCCGAACUCGGAAUGGCCCCAGACUUU
Molecule: long non-coding RNA, 1897 nt
Filed under: Citrus x clementina
Lineage: Eukaryota; Viridiplantae; Streptophyta; Magnoliopsida; Sapindales; Rutaceae
Description: Citrus clementina (C. clementina) long non-coding RNA (CCLE_LNC004956)
Source: RNAcentral